CCCGGGCUCAACCUGGGAACUGCAUUCGAAACUGGCAGGCUUGAGUCUUGUAGAGGGGGGUAGAAUUCCAGGUGUAGCGGUGAAAUGCGUAGAGAUCUGGAGGAAUACCGGUGGCGAAGGCGGCCCCCUGGACAAAGACUGACGCUCAGGUGCGAAAGCGUGGGGAGCAAACAGGAUUAGAUACCCUGGUAGUCCACGCCGUAAACGAUGUCUACUUGGAGGUUGUGCCCUUGAGGCGUGGCUUCCGGAGCUAACGCGUUAAGUAGACCGCCUGGGGAGUACGGCCGCAAGGUUAAAACUCAAAUGAAUUGACGGGGGCCCGCACAAGCGGUGGAGCAUGUGGUUUAAUUCGAUGCAACGCGAAGAACCUUACCUGGUCUUGACAUCC
RNAcentral lists this ribosomal RNA (388 nucleotides) under Salmonella enterica subsp. enterica. Its description in RNAcentral is "bacterial SSU rRNA". It matches the Rfam family "Bacterial small subunit ribosomal RNA", at positions 602 to 989 of the family's 1533-position model. The record is from RNAcentral. Lineage: Bacteria; Pseudomonadati; Pseudomonadota; Gammaproteobacteria; Enterobacterales; Enterobacteriaceae.